RNAcentral lists this ribosomal RNA (442 nucleotides) under uncultured bacterium. RNAcentral describes it as "partial 16S ribosomal RNA". It matches the Rfam family "Bacterial small subunit ribosomal RNA", at positions 338 to 795 of the family's 1533-position model. The record is from RNAcentral.
CCUACGGGCGGCAGCAGUGGGGAAUAUUGGGCAAUGGGCGCAAGCCUGACCCAGCAACGCCGCGUGAAGGAAGAAGGCUUCCGGGUUGUAAACUUCUUUUAAGAGGGAAGAGCAGAAGACGGUACCUCUUGAAUAAGCCACGGCUAACUACGUGCCAGCAGCUGCGGUAAUACGUAGGUGGUAAGCGUUGUCCGGAUUUACUGGGUGUAAAGGGCGUGUAGCCGGGCUUACGAGCCAGAUGUGAAAUUCCGGGGCUCAACCCCGGACCUGCAUUUGAAACUGUUGGUCUUGAGUAUCGGAGAGGCAGGCGGAAUUCGUAGUGUAGCGGUGAAAUGCGUAGAUAUUAGGAGGAACACCAGUGGCGAAGGCGGCCUGCUGGACGACAACUGACGGUGAGGCGCGAAAGCGUGGGUAGCAAACAGGAUUAGAUACCCGGGUAGUC